This 158-nucleotide ribosomal RNA is filed under the name Cosmarium undulatum. RNAcentral describes it as "5.8S ribosomal RNA". It matches the Rfam family "5.8S ribosomal RNA". From Rfam's summary of the family: 5.8S ribosomal RNA (5.8S rRNA) is a component of the large subunit of the eukaryotic ribosome. It is transcribed by RNA polymerase I as part of the 45S precursor that also contains 18S and 28S rRNA. Lineage: Eukaryota; Viridiplantae; Streptophyta; Zygnematophyceae; Desmidiales; Desmidiaceae. The record is from RNAcentral.
AACUCUCAACAACGGAUAUCUUGGCUCUCGCAUCGAUGAAGAACGCAGCGAAAUGCGAUACCGUCAAUGUGCAAUUGCAGAAUUCCGUGAAUCAGCGAAUGUUUUGAACGCACAUUGCGCCCGAGGCUUCGGCCAAGGGCAUGUCUGCUUGGAGCGCC